GGUAUGAACAUGCACAUUUACUGUAAAAUCACAAAUUUUCGUGGGGGGUUAAUUUUCGUUGUUUUGGAGGUGUGGAGAGACCCACAAAUUCAUGUCCACCACGAAAUGUACAGUGUUACAUAUAAAUUUACUCAACAAUUCUUCAGCCACGAAAUCAAAUUCCAAGGAACCAAAUUUUUUCCUCAAACCAUGAAAGUUUGAACCCACGAAAAUAUGUGAUUUUACAGUAAGUAUGUUCACCUCUGGGUCAAACUAAUAAAGUUAAAUGUUAGAUCUGCUCGCAUACUUGCUACUCUAACAUCUAACAAUAUCCCAUCGAGGGUCACAUCUAAGGUCAAAUUCGGAACAACUGUAGACUUAUUCCUUUCAACAAAUAUUCAAUGAUUUUGCAGGCGACAAUUUGAUUGGAUGAUAGAAUCUGACCUCUGACUUGACCCUCUGUGAGAUGUUGUUACUAGAUGUUAGUGUAGCAAGUAUGCGAGCGGAUCUAACUCCUCUGGGUGUUUUUUAAAUUCACAGCUUUUAAGAGAGCAACAAAGAGUCUUGAUUUUUAAAGGGGUGCAGAUUUUAAAGAAAGAAAACUGUGUUGUAAAGAAAGAAGAAGAUUUUCCAUCAAAUAAUGGUGGAUGACAAAGUUCUUCCUAUGAAUGAUGUCAUAACCAACUUUGAAAAAAAAGUUGGUUGGAGAGAAAAGGAUCUGAAGAGGGAGAGAGAAUUUAUUAUAUUGAGAUGGAUUUAUA
Saccostrea cuccullata (small rock oyster) is the source of this 740-nucleotide long non-coding RNA. RefSeq lists it as uncharacterized. The record is from RefSeq and is a predicted model, not a curated record. The transcript is spliced from 3 exons. NCBI's taxonomy places the organism in Eukaryota, Metazoa, Mollusca, Bivalvia, Ostreida, Ostreidae.